AGAUCACAAAGACGGUAAGAAGGAUAAAGCGGGCCGGAGCAUGUCUCUCACAGGUCCUGGACCAGUCAAAGUGAUGGAGUCGUUCUCAUGGGAGGAGUAUUUGAAAGAGACGUCGUCUGAUCCCGCUCCUCCCAGCUGCUUCAGACAGUCUCGGAUUCCUCCCUCCAACGACUUCAAGGUGGGAAUGAAGCUGGAGGCCCGGGACCCUCGUAACUCCACCUCCAC
Long non-coding RNA from Sinocyclocheilus rhinocerous, 225 nucleotides. RefSeq lists it as uncharacterized. Lineage: Eukaryota; Metazoa; Chordata; Actinopteri; Cypriniformes; Cyprinidae. The record is from RefSeq and is a predicted model, not a curated record. The transcript has 3 exons.